GCCAACCGAAUCAACAAGCACUCAUUCUGCUUAUUUUCAAAUCCCUAAUCCCCUCAGCUAAAUGCCGAUUCAUCUUCACCAUGUGGGACUCUUCGAGCCUGAAGGAAUCUUAGCCCGAAAUCCCUCAUCAACUCCGAUUUCAACGAAGAAGGGAGAAGAAAUCCAUGGCUUGCUCGCACGGUAAGGUCGUUUCCUCUUCACUUUAUUUGCUUUCGAAAUAAAAAAAAUAAAAAAAAUAACACAAAACAAGAGAAUAAUCACAAAAAGAAAGCCCGGAGAUUUAGAUCGGAAAAUCAUCUUCAGAUAUUGGUUGUCUUUUUGUAUUGCCUAUUGUGCAUCCAAAAAAAUACAAUGAUCGAAUGCUUUUGCUUUAUAGCUGAAAAUGAUAGAAAAAAAAUAAAUAAAAAUACAAAAUUCUUUCUUUGCUUUCACAUUGGGUAUAUGCUGCUGUUGCUUGUUUAUUUUUUUUUGCAGGUACGGGUGCAAGGCGCUCGGGUACGGGACUGUGUUGGCGCGGGCGUGGCUGCUGGACGGUACGGAGCGCACGACGCUGGCAUCGUACGGAGGCUUGGUUGCGGCGCAACGUAGACCUUAGGGUUUCUGCCAGUUUUAGAAAUUUGGGCCUUUUGGGCCGAUGUAAUUUUGGGGUUUAAUUUGGGGUUAUUUGGGCUUUAAGGUCUUGAAUUAAUUUUGGGCUCUGGACUGUAAAAGGACAUUUAAUUAAUUAUUGGUUUUUUUGUUUCUUUAUUUUGUAUUUUGGUUCUGGCGUGGGCCCGGGCAAAUUGGCCCAUUUACAGUACUAUUUAUAGAAUAGUCCUUCAACAUUUUUAAGCUCACGAGUGGAAUAUUCCUUCAAAUAAUAUCAAUGUACCUAUAAAUAGUGCAAUAAAUUCACGUCUUAAAUAUAAGACCUGCAUCCAGUAGAUAAUAUUUACCUAUUAAGAAAAAUCACUUAAUAUAAAUUCUGCAAAAUAAACUUAAAUCAUUUAUUUGAAAUUAAUCUUAUCUUUAGGAAUGAUAAGCUUAUCUUCCUUAGUUAAAAGCUUUUUAAUGACUUUUGAAUAUGACGAUAUUCCCUCCCAUCUGGCUAAAAUAUAUGUAAACUUAAUGUCAAAUUUAUCUUCGCUUUUAGCUUUAGCUUUAUUCACGAG
RNAcentral lists this long non-coding RNA (1151 nucleotides) under Gossypium barbadense (sea-island cotton). RNAcentral's name for it is "long non-coding RNA (GBAR_LNC008699)". Lineage: Eukaryota; Viridiplantae; Streptophyta; Magnoliopsida; Malvales; Malvaceae. The record is from RNAcentral.